Molecule: long non-coding RNA, 560 nt
Filed under: Olea europaea subsp. europaea
Lineage: Eukaryota; Viridiplantae; Streptophyta; Magnoliopsida; Lamiales; Oleaceae
Source: RNAcentral
UGGGAUGACAGAUGGCAAAUAUGUUCUUCAAGGAAGUGGCGUCUCGAUUAGUUGGUUCAUUCAAUGACCGAUGUAAAUUGAUAUAUGGACCUGGGGUCCCAAUUCUUGAAAAUACUUUUGAACAGAGAUCGUGAAAAGUUACAUCAUCUGUGCCUUUAUGGUGAUGUUUUCAAAUCCAGUUCCAGAUGAGUUCAUGGUUUUAAGUAAGCUCAAUUUAUCUAAAUCAGACUGAUUCAACCCUUGCCUUAUUCUGUUUUUUUUUUUUGUCUCAGGCCUCUUGAUCAUUCCAUGUGUCUUCCUUGUUGGAACUGCCUGGAAUUUCCAAUCCUUCAAUUUACUCCUAUUUCGGUCCAUCCUUAGGCAGAAAUAUACAAGUUUAUUUCAUUUUUUAAGGAAGAGCUAUGAUUGUACUUUUGAGUACAGCUCUACCGAGUAGAUUAAUGUUGUAGCGUUGAUAUUGUAUUUCUCUUCCUCCAGAGCUAGAUGAUACUCAGGGUGGCUCUAAAUGUACGACCACUGUAUGAUGUCUUUUAUGAACAAUUGCAUUCCAUGAUGGCUAA